CAGCAGCCGCGGUAAUACGUAGGUGGCAAGCGUUGUCCGGAAUUAUUGGGCGUAAAGGGCUCGCAGGCGGUUUCUUAAGUCUGAUGUGAAAGCCCCCGGCUCAACCCGGGGAGAGGCAUUGGAAACUGGGGAACUUGAGUGCAGAAGAGGAGAGUGGAAUUCCACGUGUAGCGGUGAAAUGCGUAGAGAUGUGGAGGGACACCAGUGGCGAGGGCGACUCUCUGGUCUGUAACUGACGCUGAGGAGCGAAAGCGUGGGGAGCGAACAGGAUUAGAUACCCUGGUAGUCCACGCCGUAAACGAGGAGUGCUAAGUGUUAGGGGGUUUCCGCCCCUUAGUGCUGCAGCUAACGCAUUAAGCACUCCGCCUGGGGAGUACGGUCGCAAGACUGAAACUCAAA
This 399-nucleotide ribosomal RNA is filed under the name Bacillus subtilis. RNAcentral describes it as "bacterial SSU rRNA". It matches the Rfam family "Bacterial small subunit ribosomal RNA", at positions 509 to 905 of the family's 1533-position model. Lineage: Bacteria; Bacillati; Bacillota; Bacilli; Caryophanales; Bacillaceae. The record is from RNAcentral.